Molecule: long non-coding RNA, 1635 nt
Organism: Papaver somniferum (opium poppy)
Lineage: Eukaryota; Viridiplantae; Streptophyta; Magnoliopsida; Ranunculales; Papaveraceae
Exons: 3
Source: RefSeq, a predicted model, not a curated record
CUCAUUUCUAUUUUCUUCUUCUUCCCUCUUCUUCUGCUCCUCUUUUCCCCGUUCUUCUUCUGGUGAGAGUUUGAGAAUCAAAAGUGAGGAUUUUGAGAUCGAAUCAAGAGUAGAAAGAUCAAGGAAGGGUUGCAGGUAGUGGUGAUUUUGUUGUGGUAAGUUCUAAGUUAAAAGAAGUGACGGGUUAGAGAAGAUUCAGUUAGGAUUUCUGUAAAUGGAAUUGGAAUUCGGUUCGAGUUCGAGUUCUUAGGUGAAUUUGUGGGUUAAUUUGGCUGCUGUUAGUUGAAGAUUGGAAGGGUUGAGGUUUGAUUGAACCUGUAGAGUUGUUUUAGGAUUGAAUCAGUAGUUAGGGUUUCAUAAGAAGAGACUCAGAGAAGAUUUAGAAGAUGUAUUGAUGUUCUGGUGAGAUGAUUUGAGAUGGGUAUUGAUCAAUUGAAUGAAUUAGAGUUAAGGAUGAGGAGUAAUUCGAGAUAAAAGAAUGAUUAGGGUUUCUGUUCUUCCGAAAAAAACUGAAAUCAGGUCUUCAGUGGAAUUGAUUCGGCGUAUUAGUAAUUCAAGGGAUGCUAAAGUUUGGGUAAGCUUCUAAUUAUUCUAAUUUUGAGAUUUUAAGUUGGAUUGUGUAAAUUAUUGAGAUCAAGUAAUCAUGAAUGAGAUUAAAAUUGAGGCGUGUUGAUGAUAUAAGCCUUGAGCAGGGAAAGGUUGAAUUGUUGUUGUUGAGGUAUUAGGAGAUGAUAGGGAAAAAGGGAUUGAGUUUGCAGCAGAGUUGUUCAACCUGUGACCGAGUUGAACUGAACUUUGAGGUAAUGAAAUUGAACUGGUGGUAUUUUCUGUGUAGUAGAAUUUGCAGAUGAAGAUGCAUGUGUUCUAUUUUAGAAUGGAUGAGUGUUGAGAUAUUGUUGAUGAAUAGAGUUUGUGAGUAGUGGGUAUAAAUCGAGUUAGGUUGAUGAUUUCAGAUGGGAACAAGGAUUAAAUGACAGUUAUGGUGGUGGUAUAGGUAUGUAAUGGUUUGAGAAUGAAUAUCUCAGUUAAAUGAAGUGAAUUGGUAGUGGUGAUGGUGUUGCAGUUCAUGUAGUCGGCAGUGUCACUAAAAUGGGUGUAUGAACUGUUGUAGGUGUAAGGAGAAUGAAAAUUGGCAGGGUAAUGAAGUUGUGGUUUUACGACUGAACCUAGAACAAGGUAAUGAAGAUUGUUGAGUUGUUAAUAGCUUUGAGGUGAAUGUGGAACAGAAUGGAAAUGAUAUUGAAGUUAAGGAAUGUGUUGUAAUGCUGGGAAAGGUGAUGAGUGUGUUUAAGAUGAGAUGAGCUGUGUAUUGCUUAGUGCUGCAAUUGCAGUUAGUCUAUAUUAACAACGAUCGAUUCAAAGGAUGAACCAGUGGAUUGUGGAUCUCGAGGUAGGCGUGGCUGGUCAUCAAAAGAGUUUCAGAGACAGAUCAAGAUGUGCACAUGACGAUGAAAGCUUCGAAGAAUUACUUACGUUAGUUAGCUAGUUUUUCUAUGUUUAUUCUGUGUUUGUAUUUUAUUUGUAAAUCAACUCACUAUUGAAUAUGUAUCAUUUGAGAGGAGUUCUUGUAUAUAAAUUUUUAAGUGGGGCUAGUUUUUUGUUUAAGUUUUGUAGCAGAUUUCUUAAUUGAAUGUU